RNAcentral lists this non-coding RNA (30 nucleotides) under Prorocentrum micans. The record is from RNAcentral. Lineage: Eukaryota; Dinophyceae; Prorocentrales; Prorocentraceae.
CACUGUCAUGCCGUUACGUAGCGGGCGUCC